UGGGGAAUCUUGCGCAAUGGGCGAAAGCCUGACGCAGCAACGCCGCGUGAGCGAAGAAGGCCUUCGGGUUGUAAAGCUCUGUCAGGGGGAAAGAAGGCACCUGGGUUAAUAGCCCAAGGGCUGACGGUACCCCCAAAGGAAGCCACGGCUAACUACGUGCCAGCAGCUGCGGUAAUACGUAGGUGGCAAGCGUUGUCCGGAAUCAUUGGGCGUAAUGAGCGCGUAGGUGGCUUGUCAGGUCUGAUGUGAAAUUUCGGGGCUCAACCCCGAACCUGCAUCGGAAACCGGCUUGCUAGAGUCUGGGAGAGGAGAGUGGAAUUCCUGGUGUAGCGGUGAAAUGCGUAGAUAUCAGGAGGAACACCGGUAGCGAAGGCGGCUCUCUGGAACAGUACUGACGCUGAGGCGCGAAAGCUAGGGGAGCGAACAG
RNAcentral lists this ribosomal RNA (427 nucleotides) under uncultured bacterium. RNAcentral's name for it is "bacterial SSU rRNA". It matches the Rfam family "Bacterial small subunit ribosomal RNA", at positions 355 to 775 of the family's 1533-position model. The record is from RNAcentral.